GAUGAACGCUGACAGAAUGCUUAACACAUGCAAGUCGAUUCGAUUUACCUUCGGGUAUUGAGGAUGGCGGACGGGUGAGUAACGCGUAAGGAACUUGCCUCUUGGUCUGGGACAACUGUUGGAAACGACAGCUAAUACCGGAUAUUAUGAGAUUCUCGCAUGGGAAACUUAUGAAAGCUAUAUGCGCCAAGAGAGAGCCUUGCGUUCCAUUAGCUAGUUGGUGGGGUAACGGCCCACCAAGGCGACGAUGGAUAGCCGGCCUGAGAGGGUGAACGGCCACAAGGGGACUGAGACACGGCCCUUACUCCUACGGGAGGCAGCAGUGGGGAAUAUUGGACAAUGGGCCACAAGCCUGAUCCAGCAAUUCUGUGUGCACGAUGAAGGUCUUCGGAUUGUAAAGUGCUUUCAGUUGGGAAGAAGAAAGUGACGGUACCAACAGAAGAAGCGACGGCUAAAUACGUGCCAGCAGCCGCGGUAAUACGUAUGUCGCAAGCGUUAUCCGGAUUUAUUGGGCGUAAAGCGCGUCUAGGCGGAAAAAUAAGUCUGAUGUUAAAAUGCGGGGCUCAACUCCGUAUUGCGUUGGAAACUGUUUUUCUAGAGUACUGGAGAGGUGGGCGGAACUACAAGUGUAGAGGUGAAAUUCGUAGAUAUUUGUAGGAAUGCCGAUGGAGAAGUCAGCUCACUGGNCAGAUACUGACGCUAAAGCGCGAAAGCGUGGGGAGCAAACAGGANUAGAUACCCUGGUAGUCCACGCCGUAAACGAUGAUCACUAG
RNAcentral lists this ribosomal RNA (773 nucleotides) under uncultured prokaryote. RNAcentral's name for it is "bacterial SSU rRNA". It matches the Rfam family "Bacterial small subunit ribosomal RNA", at positions 28 to 819 of the family's 1533-position model. The record is from RNAcentral.